GGAGAGGUGGCAGAGCGGUCGAAUGCGGCGGGCUUGAAAACCGUUGAAGGGUCAAACCUUCCGGGGGUUCGAAUCCCUCCCUCUCCGCCA
Molecule: transfer RNA, 90 nt
Filed under: Gammaproteobacteria bacterium
Lineage: Bacteria; Pseudomonadati; Pseudomonadota; Gammaproteobacteria
Description: tRNA-Ser
Rfam family: tRNA
About the family: Transfer RNA (tRNA) molecules are approximately 80 nucleotides in length. Their secondary structure includes four short double-helical elements and three loops (D, anti-codon, and T loops).
Source: RNAcentral